ACGAAGGGGGCUAGCGUUGUUCGGAAUUACUGGGCGUAAAGGGCGUGUAGGCGGUCUAUUAAGUCAGGUGUGAAAGGCCUGGGCUCAACCCAGGAAAUGCGCCUGAGACUGGUAGACUUGAGUCCGGGAGAGGAUGGUGGAACUCCCAGUGUGGAGGUGGAAUUCGUAGAUAUUGGGAAGAACACCCGUGGCGAAGGCGGCCAUCUGGACCGGUACUGACGCUAAGGCGCGACAGCGUGGGGAGCAAACAGGA
Molecule: ribosomal RNA, 253 nt
Filed under: uncultured prokaryote
Description: partial 16S ribosomal RNA
Rfam family: Bacterial small subunit ribosomal RNA
Source: RNAcentral